AGAUUGAACGCUGGCGGCAGGCCUAACACAUGCAAGUCGAGCGGUAGAGAGGUGCUUGCACCUCUUGAGAGCGGCGGACGGGUGAGUAAUGCCUAGGAAUCUGCCUAGUGGUGGGGGAUAACGUUCGGAAACGGACGCUAACACCGCAUACGUCCUACGGGAGAAAGCGGGGGACCUUCGGGCCUCGCGCCAUUAGAUGAGCCUAGGUCGGAUUAGCUAGUUGGUGAGGUAAUGGCUCACCAAGGCGACGAUCCGUAACUGGUCUGAGAGGAUGAUCAGUCACACUGGAACUGAGACACGGUCCAGACUCCUACGGGAGGCAGCAGUGGGAAUAUUGGACAAUGGGCGCAAGCCUGAUCCAGCCAUACCGCGUGGGUGAAGAAGGCCUUCGGGUUGUAAAGCCCUUUUAGUGGAAAGUAAAGUCCUAGCCGGUUAAUAACCGAGUAGGAUGACGUACCAAAGAAUAAGCACCGCUAACUCGUGCCAGCAGCCGCGUAA
Molecule: ribosomal RNA, 498 nt
Filed under: uncultured soil bacterium
Lineage: Bacteria
Description: bacterial SSU rRNA
Rfam family: Bacterial small subunit ribosomal RNA
Source: RNAcentral